UUCCAGUAUUUGUGAUUCAUUUGACAUCUCGAAUUACUCCCACUCCUAGUAGUAAUUGGGUGAUCAGUGAAUGAAUGAUAGCACAAUUGUUUAUGUGGAGAAAGAUAUAUUUUUCAGGUUCAAUAAUGAAGUUAUUAUACAAUGAUAUCAAAGUAUGAAAACUGGCAAAAAACAAGUGUAAUAUAUAAAUUAUGUCGUUUUUAGUAUUGAUGUACUAUUGUUUUAUUUUUUUAUCGUCAUUAAAUCCCCGACCAAAACCUCGACAUUCGUCGUCAAAAUUUUUUUGCCCGCACUGAACUAAAAUCCUGGCUCCGCCCCUGAUCACCACUCAUUCCACCUGAAAUAGCAUCUCACGUUCUUGAAGGCGUUGAUUUGUGUGAUGUGAUUUUGAGGAACCUAUUUUUAUAUAACACCUUUAUUCUCCAAGUUUAUUUAUUUUGGAACAAUUAGAGAUAGAGUUAAUUAAAUUUUUGAUCACCAACAUUACUUGCUCAUUAAAAAAUAAAAAGUAACUCAAUGCUCACUCACAAAACAUUACCCAUCCAUCACCCAUUUCACUUCCAUCCGUCCACAUGGGCAAAAAAAUACACGUGGCAAACAAAAAUCAUACGUGGCAUGUAACAGUGUUAAAACUUGCCAAUCUGGACAAAAACACAUUCCACUUAGUAACGUUUUUCUUCAAAUUGGAAGAAAGGCUUUUCCCAUCUCAAAUAAAAAUUUUAAUUUUCCCAAUCUUUGUAGCAAAACCUAAAUUGAUUUUCAUCCCCACAGUCCCAAAUGAUUCCAAGCUUCUUCUCAAUUGAACCCCAAAUUAACGUAUUUUGUUGGAUCAAAUGCAAGCCCUACCCCAUCAGAAUUAAGGCGGCUGACCAUGAUUGUUGGUCUUGUAGCAAAUGCAAAGCUACAGUCGGUUACUUAUGAAGUGAAGGUCGAUAGUGUUUUCAUUGACAAGUAGAAGAAGUUUUGCAAGGAAGCACAAGGUUGAAGAUACAUUCUCCUUUGGUUCUCCAUAUCUUUAUCUUAGGUGGCCUUGCAAAAAUUGUGGAACUUGGCGGAUUAUGGAACAAGUCAUGGAAGAAAAGGACCAUCAUCUAAAUGAGAUUGCAGAGUCUGGAUCAGAUCACGAACUCAAAAGCAGUUCAAGAUUAGGCCAUGACAAUUCAUGUUUAGGCUUCAAAAGAGGCAGCCAUAAUCAUUUGAGAAAGUGAAAGCUAAUUUCUAGGUUGAAAAGAUGGGUAGAAGGGAGUGAAAAAAAUGAAGUUGGAUGGAAAAAAGCAGCAGUGUCUAUCUUUGUGGUGAAUAAAUCAAUUUGAUUUGUAGUGAAUUAUGCAAUAGAAACACUUUUACAUUUUUAUGGUGAAUAUGCAAUAGAAACACUUGUACAUCUUUAUGGUUAAUAAAUCAUUUUGAUCUUCAAU
RNAcentral lists this long non-coding RNA (1418 nucleotides) under Olea europaea subsp. europaea. The record is from RNAcentral. Lineage: Eukaryota; Viridiplantae; Streptophyta; Magnoliopsida; Lamiales; Oleaceae.